Tribolium castaneum (red flour beetle) is the source of this 397-nucleotide long non-coding RNA. RefSeq lists it as uncharacterized. The transcript is spliced from 2 exons. The record is from RefSeq and is a predicted model, not a curated record. Lineage: Eukaryota; Metazoa; Arthropoda; Insecta; Coleoptera; Tenebrionidae.
AAUUUAAAUAACUGAUGCGGCUGUGAAACAAACUGACAACUCCAUAAUAUGCUUUGUGUCACAUUUUAUAUCAAAAACCUCAACACGUAAAGGGCACCAUGUUGGUAAAUACUGCGGAAACUCCACAUGUUGUCUUUACAAUUUCACGCCUUGGAGACGCUGGUAUUCGUUUUGACGUUUGUUAUUCAUCCAUGGUACAUACGACUUAUCACUCCCCGGAGUUCGAGAAUUCACACCGAAUUUGGGUUCAGUGUGUCGACACCAUACAUAUGUAUCAACUAAUAUCCGAUGGCUGAAAUGAAAUGUUAUAUUCAUAAGUAACAGUGCGUGAAUCGCUCCUCUUCUGUCAGGCCCGAUUGUUACAUUUAUAAUUAAAUCCGCUGCUCCCUGGUCCAGA